This is a long non-coding RNA of Neofelis nebulosa (Clouded leopard), 1359 nucleotides long. RefSeq lists it as uncharacterized. The record is from RefSeq and is a predicted model, not a curated record. Lineage: Eukaryota; Metazoa; Chordata; Mammalia; Carnivora; Felidae. The transcript is spliced from 3 exons.
AACAAAAACAAAAACAAAAAAACCAUUUUCCCGUCUCCCCUUCCUCCUUUCCCCUCCAUGCCAGGUGUUUAUCUCAGGUCUAAAUAUCCAUAAUACCACUUUUUCCAUUUUAAAAUUCCCAAAUUUGUCCUCCUCGCUGAUGGAAAAAAGGGUGACUCUAAACUCCUGCUUCUAGGCUGCUAGGGAUUAGAUGGAAUGCACUGGAAGCCUGGAGAGGACAGGUGACUACUGACUCUACCCUUGCACAUCACAGCUCUCCUCUCUCAACCUACUGCCCCAGGAAAGGCAUGCUUUGCCUGUGUGGGAGGGAGCUGAGGAAGUCUGAGCCAUCCACAACCGACCAUCUGAAAUCACUUUCCCAGGGAGCCGAAGACGCACAUGGCCAGACACUGCUCUGCUUUUCAAAGAGGGGGGCUGGCCCUUUCAUCUGUCUUUGCAGAGUGUCAUACAGUUAGUGACAGAGAAUGGACCUGAAUUCUCCAACACUCCAUGGUUCUUCAAGGGAUGAGGUGUCCCAUCAGAGAAGACAUGAAGCCCUGGCAACACUCAGGUGUCCCUGGGAACUCUGGACAAAAUCACAUCUUAAUGCCUUUGGAACCACCCCCUAUAGCUGUAAAUGCUCCCCUGUUAGUGGGGAGUAAUACAGAGAUACUUGGUUUUAAUUCUAUUUACACUGAUAUAAUUAUAUAACCCAGACAACUAUACUGAUGGCAGUCCAUUUUUCAUCUGGCAAAUUGUUUCAUGUUACAUGUGACUAAUUUGAUCAUGAUUUGUAAUUUAUGUGGGAUUCUCCUCCCUUCCCCACUGCGAUAACCUAACAUAACCCAUUUGAAUUGAAUCCCUGUGUGAACACCAGAUCAAGUUCAUAGACUAUCCUCACACUUGUCAGAAGAGAAAUAUUUACCUGAAGGCCUUUUAAGGCAUUUGAAGAAUGGGAAUCAAUGCCUUCUCUUCUGGGCAAAACUGGUAAAAAUUCGAGUAACUCUUUUAUUACAUGUAACAAAAGCUCUUGAACAGAGCUAUUGUUAGACUCUAUGGAUAAUUAUCAAGGGAAAUGCUAAGCUUCCUUCAUUAAAGACUUGAAGAAGUUAUCUUGGUGAGAUAGAAUUCUUGAAAUAAAAAGCAUUACUUUGAUGAAAUUCUGUGUUUCCCUUCGAUACCAUAAUACUAUGCCAUAUUAAUAUUUUUAAGACUAUACUUGGUUUAACAUUUACCAUGAGAACUAUAACUUACAAAAACUUGUUGUUCUCAAAUACAAACAGUAAUGGAAUCUGUAAUCUAUAUAUACCCUCCCUGCUACAGUUAAUGAUGGCCCCAUUACUUGAAGUGCUCAAUAAACCAACUGUUUCAUUAUGCUGA